Molecule: ribosomal RNA, 556 nt
Filed under: Trichoderma harzianum
Lineage: Eukaryota; Fungi; Ascomycota; Sordariomycetes; Hypocreales; Hypocreaceae
Description: eukaryotic LSU rRNA
Rfam family: 5.8S ribosomal RNA (bases 166-319)
Source: RNAcentral
CCAGACUGUUGCCUCGGCGGGAUCUCUGCCCCGGGUGCGUCGCAGCCCCGGACCAAGGCGCCCGCCGGAGGACCAACCAAAACUCUUUUUGUAUACCCCCUCGCGGGUUUUUUUAUAAUCUGAGCCUUCUCGGCGCCUCUCGUAGGCGUUUCGAAAAUGAAUCAAAACUUUCAACAACGGAUCUCUUGGUUCUGGCAUCGAUGAAGAACGCAGCGAAAUGCGAUAAGUAAUGUGAAUUGCAGAAUUCAGUGAAUCAUCGAAUCUUUGAACGCACAUUGCGCCCGCCAGUAUUCUGGCGGGCAUGCCUGUCCGAGCGUCAUUUCAACCCUCGAACCCCUCCGGGGGGUCGGCGUUGGGGAUCGGCCCUGCCUCUUGGCGGUGGCCGUCUCCGAAAUACAGUGGCGGUCUCGCCGCAGCCUCUCCUGCGCAGUAGUUUGCACACUCGCAUCGGGAGCGCGGCGCGUCCACAGCCGUUAAACACCCAACUUCUGAAAUGUUGACCUCGGAUCAGGUAGGAAUACCCGCUGAACUUAAGCAUAUCAAUAAGCCGGAGGAA